RNAcentral lists this small RNA (83 nucleotides) under Marmota monax (woodchuck). The record is from RNAcentral. Lineage: Eukaryota; Metazoa; Chordata; Mammalia; Rodentia; Sciuridae.
GCCAGGUGAGGUGGCGCAUGCCUGUAAUCCCAGUGGCUCCGGAGGCUGAGGCAGGAGGAUCGUGAGUUCAAAGCCAGCCUCAG